UACAGAGGGUGCAAGCGUUAAUCGGAAUGACUGGGCGUAAAGGGUGCGUAGGUGGCGAAUUAAGUUAGAUGUGAAAUCCCUGGGCUUAACCUAGGAACUGCAUUUAAUACUGGUUGGCUAGAGUAUGGGAGAGGUAAGUGGAAUUUCCGGUGUAGCGGUGAAAUGCGUAGAUAUCGGAAGGAACACCAGUGGCGAAGGCGGCUUACUGGCCUAAUACUGACACUGAGGCACGAAAGCGUGGGGAGCAAACAGG
RNAcentral lists this ribosomal RNA (253 nucleotides) under uncultured Arenicella sp. Its description in RNAcentral is "partial 16S ribosomal RNA". It matches the Rfam family "Bacterial small subunit ribosomal RNA", at positions 524 to 776 of the family's 1533-position model. Lineage: Bacteria; Pseudomonadati; Pseudomonadota; Gammaproteobacteria; Arenicellales; Arenicellaceae. The record is from RNAcentral.